UCGGGAAUUUUGGGCAAUGGGCGAAAGCCUGACCCAGCAACGCCGCGUGAAGGAUGAAGUAUUUCGGUAUGUAAACUUCGAAAGAAUAGGAAGAAUAAAUGACGGUACUAUUUAUAAGGUCCGGCUAACUACGUGCCAGCAGCCGCGGUAAUACGUAGGGACCAAGCGUUGUUCGGAUUUACUGGGCGUAAAGGGCGCGUAGGCGGCAAUUCAAGUCAUCUGUGAAAUCUCCGGGCUUAACUCGGAACGGUCAGAUGAUACUGCUUUGCUAGAGUGCAGAAGGGGCAAUCGGAAUUCUUGGUGUAGCGGUGAAAUGCGUAGAUAUCAAGAGGAACACCUGAGGUGAAGACGGGUUGCUGGGCCGACACUGACGCUGAGGCGCGAAAGCCAGGGGAGCAAACGGGAUUAGAUACCCAUGUAGUCCCUGAG
RNAcentral lists this ribosomal RNA (429 nucleotides) under uncultured bacterium. RNAcentral's name for it is "bacterial SSU rRNA". It matches the Rfam family "Bacterial small subunit ribosomal RNA", at positions 355 to 801 of the family's 1533-position model. The record is from RNAcentral.